GAUGAACGCUGGCGGCGUGCCUAAUACAUGCAAGUCGAGCGAACGGACGAGAAGCUUGCUUCUCUGAUGUUAGCGGCGGACGGGUGAGUAACACGUGGAUAACCUACCUAUAAGACUGGGAUAACUUCGGGAAACCGGAGCUAAUACCGGAUGAUAUUUUGAACCGCAUGGUUCAAAAGUGAAAGACGGUCUUGCUGUCACUUAUAGAUGGAUCCGCGCUGCAUUAGCUAGUUGGUAAGGUAACGGCUUACCAAGGCAACGAUGCAUAGCCGACCUGAGAGGGUGCGGCCACACAGGGGAUACGACAACGGGGCGACUCCGAUACGGGGCAGACGCAUAGGGUAGUCAGCAGUGGGGGAAAAAGCAAGAGGGAGCCACGCCGGGGGCGAGGAGGGGGUUUGGGGAUUGAAAACCUUUGUUUUGGGAACAACAUAUGUGUGAGACUAAGUGUGCAUAUCGAGGCGCCACAAAAAGAGACACCCGCGGAUUACGAC
This 494-nucleotide ribosomal RNA is filed under the name uncultured bacterium. Its description in RNAcentral is "partial 16S ribosomal RNA". It matches the Rfam family "Bacterial small subunit ribosomal RNA", at positions 28 to 507 of the family's 1533-position model. The record is from RNAcentral.